Molecule: ribosomal RNA, 494 nt
Filed under: uncultured bacterium
Lineage: Bacteria
Description: partial 16S ribosomal RNA
Rfam family: Bacterial small subunit ribosomal RNA
Source: RNAcentral
GACGAACGCUGGCGGCGUGCUUAACACAUGCAAGUCGAACGGAAAGGCCUGCUUUCCCUUGUGGAUUGCGGGUACUCGAGUGGCGAACGGGUGAGUAACACGUGAGUGAUCUGCCCCCAACUUGGGUAUAAGCCUGGGAAACUGGGUCUAAUUCCCGAUAGGACUGCAGGGUGGUGCCUGUGGUGGAAAACGAUUUUCUAGUGGUUGGGGAUGAGCUCGCGGCCUAUCAGCUUGUUGGUGGGGUAAUGGCCUACCAAGGCGGCGACGGGUAGCCGGCCUGAGAGGGUGGACGGCCACAUUGAGACUGAGAUACGGCCCAGAGUCCUAUGGGAGGCAGCAGUGGGGAAUAGUGCACAAUGUGCGGAAGCCUGAUGCAGCGACGCCGCGUGGGGGAUGACGGCCUUCGGGUUGUAAACUCCUUUCGACCGCGAGGAAGCCACCUGGUUGGAAGGGUGGUGACGGUAGUGGUAGAAGAAGCACCGGCUAACUACGUG